RNAcentral lists this ribosomal RNA (416 nucleotides) under uncultured bacterium. Its description in RNAcentral is "bacterial SSU rRNA". It matches the Rfam family "Bacterial small subunit ribosomal RNA", at positions 28 to 418 of the family's 1533-position model. The record is from RNAcentral.
GACGAACGCUGGCGGCGUGCUUAACACAUGCAAGUCGAACGAGAGGACAAGAGAAGCUUGCUUCUUUUGGAAUCGAGUGGCAAACGGGUGAGUAACACGUAAACAACCUGCCUUCAGGAUGGGGACAACAGACGGAAACGACUGCUAAUACCGAAUACGCUUGGAAGACCGCAUGAUUUUCCAAGGAAAGGGUGGCCUCUACCUGUAAGCUAUCGCCUGAAGAGGGGUUUGCGUCUGAUUAGGCAGUUGGUGAGGUAACGGCCCACCAAACCUACGAUCAGUAGCCGGUCUGAGAGGAUGAACGGCCACACUGGAACUGAGACACGGUCCAGACUCCUACGGGAGGCAGCAGUGGGGAAUCUUCCGCAAUGGGCGAAAGCCUGACGGAGCAACGCCGCGUGAGUGAUGACGGCCUC